This 253-nucleotide ribosomal RNA is filed under the name uncultured bacterium. RNAcentral's name for it is "partial 16S ribosomal RNA". It matches the Rfam family "Bacterial small subunit ribosomal RNA", at positions 524 to 776 of the family's 1533-position model. The record is from RNAcentral.
UACGUAGGGGGCAAGCGUUGUCCGGAAUCAUUGGGCGUAAAGAGCGCGUAGGCGGCCCUGUAAGUCCGCUGUGAAAGUCAAGGGCUCAACCCUUGGAUGCCGGUGGAUACUGCAGGGCUAGAGUCCGGAAGAGGCGAGUGGAAUUCCUGGUGUAGCGGUGAAAUGCGCAGAUAUCAGGAGGAACACCGAUGGCGAAGGCAGGUCUCUGGGCUGACACUGACGCUCAUGCACGAAAGCGUGGGGAGCAAACAGG